GAGACCAAAGUCAGGCCAAAAGGAACCAGCAAGUCAAAUGCCAUCAGGGGACUAAGAGCCCGAGAGGAAGUUAGGGUACAGCCUUUAUUGUCUAGAUUUCUUCAAAUGAAGUCAGUGUCCAAGAAAGGCAAACCCAUCCUGGCUGUGUUUAAGCCUAAUCCAGCCGUAGCUAGCCUGUGCCACCUGCUUUGUGUUACAUAAGCCAUAGAUUUUUGCCUCAGACAGAUUUCUGUCUUCUGUAAUCACAGAAUCAAAAUGUGAGGAAGAGAGGGACUGGCUCAUCUUUUCUCAAAGCCUUUACCGGGAAGGACUCAGAGGGCCUUGCCUCGUGUACUCCGUCCCCUUUGAGUCUGCCUCUGUCCCAGAAGAUAUUGCUGAGCACCGCAGACAUACUGUGCUCAUGGUUGGUUAGAUUAUAAUGGAAUUCAUACAAGUACAAUUACAUAUACGCCCUUUCAUGUCUGGUUUCUUUUUCUAACGUUUCUUUGACGUUCGUUUCAUUACGACUGACCAUAGCUCACCCGUUCUAUUGCAGAGCAGCACGCCAUCGUGUAGAUAGAUUCAAUCUCUGCUGAUUGACAUUUGGGUUGAGUCUAUUCCCUAGGAUCAGACAAAAGGUAUCUGCAGCCAGCAGCGACUCCGGGGGCAGUGAGCAAGCCAGCCCUUGAGGAUUCUACCUGGCUGCAGCACAGUGUACCUGGCCUCUGGGUAAAGACCAAUUCUUCAUCUCAAAAUUGUUCAGCAAGCUAUGGACACGCUUUCGAGGAGCUGGGCACACAGGGUGGAAUCCCCUGCCUCUGUGUCAGAUGACUGGAAACCACGCUACCAUUUCUAGCACCCAGAAUCACAGGGUUUUGGAGUGAGCUCAAGCAAUUGCAGACUUCCUCUUUCCACCUGCCCAGAACUCCUGCUCCACGGGUUCCAGGAGCUGGCCGCCUAGUUGCUGGAGCAGCUAGAACUGAAGCUAGCUGAUCCCAUCCUGGAGUCCUGAUAGCACACAGGGUGCUGAAACCCUGCUUCUCCCUGCCUCAGAGCUGGCCUCCUCCGUCCCUCAGCAGUCCUGCCCAGUGCUCAGGCACACACUCAACACGCAUCAGCAGGGCAUAAAUAUUUAUGACAUGCAACAAAUGCAGUGGCUUAUAGGAUUCCUGGAGCUUCAGGCGGGCGCUCUUUGCGCAAGAAGCAUUUUUAUGUGAGGAGGGGGGCAGUGGGCAGGAGAGCAGUGUGUGCAAGCAGAGACGGGGCUCUUAGCCUCCUAGAAUGUUCUGGAAGCCUGCCCUUCACUGCGGCAGCUGAGUGUUUCCAUUUGUGGGGAGGCUUGGCUGGCAGCUGCCACCAUGCUCUCUGAUAAUCCACCAGCCUUAGAAGCGUGCUCUUCAGAAGCCCCGCCCUGAUGCUACCAGAUGUUCACCAACCAGAGGACGGAGAGAAUUCCAUCUGGAAGCUGAGUCCUCAGGAGGUGGGUAGAGCACAGGGUUCCUAUUCUCAUUGUCACAAGCUUCUAGAUGGUUCUCAGAGUGGAAACCAAGGAUGGCUGCCUCUGCCCCCUACCAAAGCCCCCUUAGGGCGAUUCAACCACAUUCCCAGCACCUAGCCCCCAAGGCAAGAAAUGCAAGUACCAGCCAACUGUGGUGGUAGACAUUUGUAAUCCAAGCACCCUAGCCAGCUCCAGCAAAACUGAAGUCGUACAGUAGGACCCUGUCUCACAAAUCAAUCAAACAAACAAGGGACUGCACAUAUCUCAGACUUCCAACAAUAAACAAAGGUUCACACAUAUCUGCGUCAAUCCCUUCCCUUCUGGCCAGCCAGCAUCUCUCACUGGUGCUGUCUACUAACACCGUUUGACAUAGCUCCUCAUUGGUUCUGAGGGAGGAGGUGAGGAGUGGUGAGCAAAGCCAUGAGACAUGAGUCUUUCUGCAGAGCAGUGAAACCUGGGCCUGCAGUGGAGUCUUGCUACCCUGUGGGCCUUUUCCUGGAGGUGUCAGUGGUGGCCAAACCUGACCUGGCCUUUGAGGACCAUGCCCAGCCCAGGCUGGAGAGGAAAAUGCUUCUGUAGUGGAAGGAGGGCCUUUCAGCUGACCUCCCACAUAGCAAGAUUUAGCCAACUAUAAACUCCCCAUUCAAUCCUUCCAGCACCAGCUCUCAAGCCACUUCCACUCCCAGCACUGUCUGAACCUGCACACCUGUUCCUCCAGACUCUAACCGCUUUCCACCUGCUCCUUUAACCAAGCCAGUCUCCUCUCCCCUAACCUCUGCUGAGGAGGUGAGUAAGGAGUUGGUAGCGGUGGGGGUGGUUAGCCAAUCUUCAUGCCUCAGGGUCCCAUGGCCAGCAUAAAUCUCUCCUUCUUUCUCUUAACACCUGGCCGGCUCCUUGUCACUGUGCUAACAACAUUGUAUUGAUUUGCCCACGUGACUGCUUCCCCCAAAGACCAUAAACUCCUUGAGAGCAGAA
RNAcentral lists this small RNA (2452 nucleotides) under Rattus norvegicus (Norway rat). RNAcentral describes it as "uncharacterized LOC108352532". The record is from RNAcentral. Lineage: Eukaryota; Metazoa; Chordata; Mammalia; Rodentia; Muridae.